UUGAGUAUUAUUUUAAAAUAAAAUUUAUUUUUUCCAAAAAUAAGAUCCGUUGUAUAAGGAUACUUGAA
Molecule: transfer RNA, 68 nt
Filed under: Ciona savignyi (Pacific transparent sea squirt)
Lineage: Eukaryota; Metazoa; Chordata; Ascidiacea; Phlebobranchia; Cionidae
Description: tRNA (ENSCSAVG00000012494.1)
Source: RNAcentral